RNAcentral lists this ribosomal RNA (450 nucleotides) under uncultured bacterium. Its description in RNAcentral is "bacterial SSU rRNA". It matches the Rfam family "Bacterial small subunit ribosomal RNA", at positions 29 to 526 of the family's 1533-position model. The record is from RNAcentral.
AACGAACGCUGGCGGCAGGCUUAACACAUGCAAGUCGAACGCACCGCAAGGUGAGUGGCAGACGGGUGAGUAACACGUGGGAACGUACCCUUUUGUUCGGAAUAACCCUGGGAAACUAGGGCUAAUACCGGAUACGCCCUUUGGGGGAAAGGUUUAUUGCAGAAGGAUCGGCCCGCGUCCGAUUAGCUAGUUGGUGUGGUAAUGGCGCACCAAGGCGACGAUCGGUAGCUGGUCUGAGAGGAUGGCCAGCCACAUUGGGACUGAGACACGGCCCAAACUCCUACGGGAGGCAGCAGUGGGGAAUAUUGGACAAUGGGCGCAAGCCUGAUCCAGCCAUGCCGCGUGAGUGAUGAAGGCCUUAGGGUUGUAAAGCUCUUUUACCCGGGAAGAUAGUGACGGUACCGGGAGAAUAAGCCCCGGCUAACUUCGUGCCAGCCGCCGCGGUAAGAC